RNAcentral lists this long non-coding RNA (2781 nucleotides) under Homo sapiens (human). Its description in RNAcentral is "HSALNT0385894". The record is from RNAcentral. Lineage: Eukaryota; Metazoa; Chordata; Mammalia; Primates; Hominidae.
AGCAUUGAUAAUAUAGACUGAGCAUCUCUAAUCUGAAAAAUCUUAAAUGCUCCCUAAUCCAAAUAUCUGAAAUGCUCCAAAAUCCAAAACUUCUUGAGCACCAACAUGACACUCAAAGGAAAUGCUCAUUGGGGCAUUUUGGAUUUUGGAUUUCUGGGUUAGGGCUGCUCAUCUGGUACUGCAAAUAUUCCCAAAUCCAAAAACAUCUGAAACCUGAAACACUUCUGGUCUCAAACAUUUCAGAUAAGGGAUAUUCAACCUGUACUUAGAUAAAUGGUCAUGACUGUGUUCCAAUCAAAUGUGAUUCACAAAAUCAGGUGCUGAGCUGGUUUGGUUCACGGGCUGCUGUUUGCCACCGUGGUUUUAUGUCUAUCGUAUCUGUAUGGCGGAAAUGCUAUGUACUUGUGUUAAUCCUACUAUAUAAGUCUUCCCUAGUUCCUUGAAAGGUGUCAUUUUGGUAGCUUGCAAUUGGCCGUGGUGGGGGUAUUUAUACCACCAAAUCAGCAGAGGCUACAAACAGGGUUGCCCCUCAGCCCCCAAGAGCUGGUUGUUAAACAUUCCAGCACACCCCUGGCUAAUGUGGUCUGUGAAGGCCUCUUCAGGGAGGUGACCUCUGAACAGAAACCUGAAACCACACUUAGUCCUUCCAACCUGCAGAGGCCCAUCCCACCCCCAAUGGGCGACCUACAGGGCACAGUUCAGAAAUACAUCGGAACAAAACAGUCUGAAGUUUACAGAGAUGGCCGGACCCAACAAAACGCACAUUUGUUUAAAACACAGUAUAUUCCAGUGUCAUCACCCCACCACGCACUAACCCAGGAGCAGCCUCGCCUCCCUGGAGCCAAUAAGAAGGCACAGCGAAGAAGCCACUCAUCAUGGCCUGAGGCCUGACUGCAUUUACUACAGGCUGCUGAGUCUUGCCUGCCACCAAAUAGAACCUGCAAGGCAAGGCCUGAGGGGUCGCUUCCAAAGUCUGCUAAAGUUGGGGAGGACUGGAGGAGAGGGACUCAGGGAGGCAUCCGUGGUACAGUCAACUUCCUCACCAACUCUUCAAACCCCAGUGUAACUUCAAACUACUUAGUUUGGAAAAGGCCAUAUUAGGUGUUUAAACAGAUUUGUGUGUUAGUUGUAAGGUGAUUUCAUACACGGAAUUUAAAGGUUUUCAUUAACUCCUAGUAAAGUGGUACAGUCAAAAGAGUGGACGCAACUUGCAAAUUUCAGUCGCGCUUUUGUAAUAAGGGUCAGUCUGCUGGGAGAAUUACACUAUUCUUAUAAUAUCCAUUUCAGUCUUCACUCCCCUAAUUACUCUCAUUAGACCUCAGAAUCUACCUCCUCUCCAAUAAAUCCACACUCCAAGCAGUCUACUGAAGCUGGCAGCCCACAGAGACCUGACUGCCCACAGUUCAGUGCAAAGACAGGCUUGAAAGCUUGCCCCAAAACAGUCCCUCCCCAAGAUUUCUCCUGCCUUCUUUCUUCCCUAAUCAACUUGGUGAGCUCUCUCCUUUCUUUUUAUACAUCUGAGGCUUAUCUCUGAAAUAUUUCCUAAACAAAGAGAUUAGCGUCAUCAUCAUGCCCAUUUAAGGACAUCUUUUAAGUCCUCUUCACAAAUAGUGUAAUUUUCAUCCUACUUCUAAAUUCUCUCUCCUGCCUCUGGAACACAUUCCCCAUAUAUUCCCUGAGUUCUUCCUCAAGGGACUGGGCUGGUAGCUUUACAAUAAAUUUUCUACUUUCCCUUAGGAGCUCGUUCAUGUCCACAUUCUCUUUCUGCAGGGCAGAAUGUUCCACCAGGGAAUGCCAAGUUGAUUCUGUCUCCCUCAGAAAACUCCAUUCCUCCUGACAACUGGUUCCCAAUCCUGGUUGCACAGUCACAAGGAGUGGGGACUAUGAAAAAGUGUGCCAACCCUUGAAUCUGACAAGGAAGAUCAGUGAUGUCAUAACAGCAUUGUUUGGAUAUCAGCAUGCAUAUCCACCCAUGGGGUUCUGAAACAGAAAUGCAUAAGGAGCUUUGACAAGGACCCACUGUCUGGCCCCAUCUUCAGAGAUUCCAAUAGGUCUGGGGUGUGCACAGGCACUGGCGUCUUUAAAAUCUCCCUGUGUGAAUUCAACAUGCAACCAGGAUUGAAUGGAGAACUGCUGCUCGAAGUUUGAUAAUGAGGUGAUAAUGAGGAAGAACAUGCCUCAGCAAGUCAGAAAAAGGGGCUUAGGGGAGGGCCAGUGGCUCCUCCUUCGGCCAGGCCAGCUUUCUUCUGACAAGGACUUGUUUUCACAACUGUCCAGAUCCGCAGAUGGGCACAAGAUGAUGGAAUGAAGCAGCGGGGGACAACUUCUGGCUGGAGUGGCUUGGAGGCUGGAGCAGCUGAGCUUUAACAAGCAUCAGAGGUCAGAAUUACUUGGCUAGAUCAAGAAGCCACACAGCAUCAUAAUGCCGCUGGCACAUCUCCCAGAACAGGGUACCAGGACCCCUGUGAAGAUACCCAUGGUUCAAUCAUCAGGACCUACAGAUCCUUCCAUGUUAAGGACAACACCAAUAAUACUGAGAAAGCAAACGGCAGAUUGGCAGUGUUAAAGGAUAACAACGUGCCAACAGAAUAUUAAGAAAGAAAACUUCUUUGCAAAAGUUGAUAGAGAGACUACAAAUAUCAGUCAAAUUACAAACAGACAACAGAGGACAGCAUUUGGAAACGACUUCCCGAGGCAAGCACUAUUCAGUGCCCCACUUCCCUCUCCCCAUGCCCCUUUGCAAAGAUCUAUUACAUUAAUAAAUUUCUUUAAAUGCUAAAA